UACGGAGGGUGCGGGCGUUAUCCGGAAUUAUUAGGUUUAAAGGGUGCGCAGGCGGACUGGUAAGUCGGCGGUGAAAUACCGGGGCCCAACCCCGGGGCUGCCAUCGAUACUGCCGGUCUUGAGUGCGGGCGAGGAAGGCGGAAUGUGGAGUGUAGCGGUGAAAUGCUUAGAUAUUCCACAGAACACCGAUUGCGAAGGCAGCCUUCCAGCGCGCAACUGACGCUCAGGCACGAAAGCGCGGGUAG
This 245-nucleotide ribosomal RNA is filed under the name uncultured Bacteroidales bacterium. Its description in RNAcentral is "partial 16S ribosomal RNA". It matches the Rfam family "Bacterial small subunit ribosomal RNA", at positions 524 to 768 of the family's 1533-position model. The record is from RNAcentral. Lineage: Bacteria; Pseudomonadati; Bacteroidota; Bacteroidia; Bacteroidales.